GACGAACGCUGGCGGCGUGCCUAAUACAUGCAAGUCGAGCGAAUCAAUUGAAAGCCUAGCUUUCAUGAGGUUAGCGGCGGACGGGUGAGUAACACGUGGGUAACCUGCCCUAUAGACUGGGAUAACUCGCGGAAACGCGUGCUAAUACCGGAUAACACAUCAAAGUGCAUGCUUUGAUGUUGAAAGAUGGUUCUGCUAUCACUAUAGGAUGGGGCCCGCGGCGCAUUAGCUUGUUGGUGGGGUAACGGCCUACCAAGGCGACGAUGCGUAGCCGACCUGAGAGGGUGAUCGGCCACACUGGGACUGAGACACGGCCCAGACUCCUACGGGAGGCUG
This 336-nucleotide ribosomal RNA is filed under the name uncultured Bacillota bacterium. Its description in RNAcentral is "bacterial SSU rRNA". It matches the Rfam family "Bacterial small subunit ribosomal RNA", at positions 28 to 351 of the family's 1533-position model. The record is from RNAcentral. Lineage: Bacteria; Bacillati; Bacillota.